RNAcentral lists this ribosomal RNA (497 nucleotides) under uncultured bacterium. RNAcentral describes it as "partial 16S ribosomal RNA". It matches the Rfam family "Bacterial small subunit ribosomal RNA", at positions 28 to 507 of the family's 1533-position model. The record is from RNAcentral.
GAUGAACGCUGGCGGCGUGCCUAAUACAUGCAAGUCGAGCGAACGGACGCGAAGCUUGCUUUUCUGAUGUUAGCGGCGGACGGGUGAGUAACACGUGGAUAACCUACCUAUAAGACUGGGAUGACUUCGGGAAACCGGAGCUAAUACCGGAUAAUAUUUUGAACCUCAUGGUUCAAGAGUGAAAGACGGUCUUGUUGUCACUUAUAGAUGGGUCCGCGCUGCAUUAGCUAGUUGGUAAGGUAACGGCUUACCAAGGCAACGAUGCAUAGCCGACCUGAGAGGAGGGUCGACGACACCAGUGCGGCGACACGGCGCCGACUCCUACGGGAGGCAGCAGUAGGGAGUCUUACGGAACGGGCGAAAGCAUGACGGAGCAACGACGCGUGAGUGAUGAAGGUCGUCGGAUCGUAAUACUCCGCUAUUAGGAAAGAAGAUAUGUGUAAGCAACUGUGCACAUCUUGACGGUACCUAAUCAGAAAGCCACGGCUAACUACGUG